GACGAACGCUGGCGGCGUGCUUAACACAUGCAAGUCGAACGGAAAGGCCUGCUUUCCCUUGUGGAUUGCGGGUACUCGAGUGGCGAACGGGUGAGUAACACGUGAGUGAUCUGCCCCCAACUUGGGUAUAAGCCUGGGAAACUGGGUCUAAUUCCCGAUAGGACUGCAGGGUGGUGCCUGUGGUGGAACACGAUUUUCUAGUGGUUGGGGAUGAGCUCGCGGCCUAUCAGCUUGUUGGUGGGGUAAUGGCCUACCAAGGCGGCGACGGGUAGCCGGCCUGAGAGGGUGGACGGCCACAUUGGGACUGAGAUACGGCCCAGACUCCUACGGGAGGCAGCAGUGGGGAAUAUUGCACAAUGGGCGGAAGCCUGAUGCAGCGACGCCGCGUGGGGGAUGACGGCCUUCGGGUGGUAAACUCCUUUCGACCGCGAGGAAGCCACCUGGUUGGAAGGGUGGUGACGGUAGUGGUAGAAGAAGCACCGGCUAACUACGUG
Molecule: ribosomal RNA, 494 nt
Filed under: uncultured bacterium
Lineage: Bacteria
Description: partial 16S ribosomal RNA
Rfam family: Bacterial small subunit ribosomal RNA
Source: RNAcentral